AUGCCUGUGGCCGUGGGUCCCUACAGGCAGUCCCAGCCCAGCUGCUUCGACUGCGUGAAGAUGGGCUUCGUCAUGGGUUGCGCCGUGGGUAUGGCGGCCGGGGUGCUGUUCCGCACCUUCUCCUGUCUCAGGAUCGGAAUGCGGGGUUGGGAGCUAAUGGGCAGCAUUGGGAAAACCAUGGUGCAGAGUAGCAGCACGUUUGGCACUUUCAUGGCCAUUGGAAUGGGCAUACGAUGC
RNAcentral lists this long non-coding RNA (237 nucleotides) under Mus musculus (house mouse). Its description in RNAcentral is "long non-coding RNA chr3:107979631-107979868". The record is from RNAcentral. Lineage: Eukaryota; Metazoa; Chordata; Mammalia; Rodentia; Muridae.